Bison bison bison is the source of this 61-nucleotide microRNA precursor. The record is from Ensembl. NCBI's taxonomy places the organism in Eukaryota, Metazoa, Chordata, Mammalia, Artiodactyla, Bovidae.
CAGAGGGAGCCAUUGGAUGGAUAAGGUUGUUUGUUCAGUUGUGGUUUUUUGUUUUCCUUUG